CCUACGGGAGGCAGCAGUGAGGAAUAUUGGUCAAUGGGCUUACGCCUGAACCAGCCAAGUCGCGUGAGGGAAGACUGCCCUAUGGGUUGUAAACCUCUUUUGUCAGGGCGCAAUUGGUGCUACUUGUAGCGUUAUCGAGAGUACCUGAAGACAAAGCAUCUGCUAACUCCGUGCCAGCAGCCGCGGUAAUACGGAGGAUGCGAGCGUUAUCCGGAUUUAUGGGGUUUAAAGGGUGCGUAGGCGGAAUGCCAAGUCAGCGGUAAAACCGCGGGGCUAAACCACGCUCCGCCGUUGAAACUGGCGUUCUUGAGUGGGCGAGAGGGAUGCGGAAUGCGGGGUGUAGCGGUGAAAUGCAUAGAUAUCACGCAGAACUCCAGUUGCGAAGGCAGCAUACCGGCGCCCAACUGACGCUGAAGCGCGAAAGCGUGGGUAUCGAACAGGAUUAGAUACCCCUGUAGUC
RNAcentral lists this ribosomal RNA (460 nucleotides) under uncultured bacterium. RNAcentral describes it as "partial 16S ribosomal RNA". It matches the Rfam family "Bacterial small subunit ribosomal RNA", at positions 338 to 795 of the family's 1533-position model. The record is from RNAcentral.